AAUGGAGAUGAAAAAGAUAGAGAGAAUCACCUUAAAGUUUCUCAGAAAAAAGACAGAAAUUGAAUGAUUGAGAGACGGAUAAGUUGUGCUCUGUCUGAAGACCAUAGUAGAGUUUGUGGGUGUGGUCUUAGACAAGACAUGAGGAAAUUGGGCUUUCAAAAUGAGAUGAGAAUAUGAGCAUACUGAAGUCGAGACAUGGGUCAAAGCUGUUAGGCCCAAUCAUCAUCUUUCUCAAGUUUAUUAAGAAGAGAGAAUAUGUGGUCGUCUUCUUCAUUCCGCUGCGAAACAAAAUCAUCACCUGUAACAACAGAGAGAAAACAGAUUUAGAGAGAGAAAGCUAAAGAUCAAUGUAUUAGGGAUAAAGUAUCUACAUCGGGAAUUUAAAGGAAAUUUAAUUAAUACUCUAUAUGUUUCUUAAUAAAUGUCAAUUUGACAUUUUUCACACAAAUUAAUAAAUUGAUUAAAA
Molecule: long non-coding RNA, 466 nt
Filed under: Brassica rapa (field mustard)
Lineage: Eukaryota; Viridiplantae; Streptophyta; Magnoliopsida; Brassicales; Brassicaceae
Description: long non-coding RNA (BRAP_LNC006406)
Source: RNAcentral